This 973-nucleotide ribosomal RNA is filed under the name Microbacterium sp. Its description in RNAcentral is "bacterial SSU rRNA". It matches the Rfam family "Bacterial small subunit ribosomal RNA", at positions 60 to 1043 of the family's 1533-position model. Lineage: Bacteria; Bacillati; Actinomycetota; Actinomycetes; Micrococcales; Microbacteriaceae. The record is from RNAcentral.
AGUCGAACGGUGAACACGGAGCUUGCUCUGUGGGAUCAGUGGCGAACGGGUGAGUAACACGUGAGCAACCUGCCCCUGACUCUGGGAUAAGCGCUGGAAACGGCGUCUAAUACUGGAUAUGUGACGUGAUCGCAUGGUCUGCGUCUGGAAAGAAUUUCGGUUGGGGAUGGGCUCGCGGCCUAUCAGCUUGUUGGUGAGGUAAUGGCUCACCAAGGCGUCGACGGGUAGCCGGCCUGAGAGGGUGACCGGCCACACUGGGACUGAGACACGGCCCAGACUCCUACGGGAGGCAGCAGUGGGGAAUAUUGCACAAUGGGCGCAAGCCUGAUGCAGCAACGCCGCGUGAGGGAUGACGGCCUUCGGGUUGUAAACCUCUUUUAGCAGGGAAGAAGCGAAAGUGACGGUACCUGCAGAAAAAGCGCCGGCUAACUACGUGCCAGCAGCCGCGGUAAUACGUAGGGCGCAAGCGUUAUCCGGAAUUAUUGGGCGUAAAGAGCUCGUAGGCGGUUUGUCGCGUCUGCUGUGAAAUCCGGAGGCUCAACCUCCGGCCUGCAGUGGGUACGGGCAGACUAGAGUGCGGUAGGGGAGAUUGGAAUUCCUGGUGUAGCGGUGGAAUGCGCAGAUAUCAGGAGGAACACCGAUGGCGAAGGCAGAUCUCUGGGCCGUAACUGACGCUGAGGAGCGAAAGGGUGGGGAGCAAACAGGCUUAGAUACCCUGGUAGUCCACCCCGUAAACGUUGGGAACUAGUUGUGGGGUCCAUUCCACGGAUUCCGUGACGCAGCUAACGCAUUAAGUUCCCCGCCUGGGGAGUACGGCCGCAAGGCUAAAACUCAAAGGAAUUGACGGGGACCCGCACAAGCGGCGGAGCAUGCGGAUUAAUUCGAUGCAACGCGAAGAACCUUACCAAGGCUUGACAUAUACGAGAACGGGCCAGAAAUGGUCAACUCUUUGGACACUCGUAAACAGGUGGUG